This is an RNA transcript of Grus americana (Whooping crane), 4990 nucleotides long. It is a transcript of the gene named Sp3 transcription factor, with no coding region annotated. The transcript is spliced from 8 exons. The record is from RefSeq and is a predicted model, not a curated record. Lineage: Eukaryota; Metazoa; Chordata; Aves; Gruiformes; Gruidae.
UUUGUAGCUUUAGCCCGCCCGGGUCAGCCAGGUGCGAGCCCGCCGCGGCCAGAAAGCUUAUGCAACGGCCCACGGGGUCGGCCAUUGAGGUGUGGCUCCCGGGGCCGCGCCGCCGCCGGACAGAGGCCGGCGCUGACCCGGAUCCCCCGUCCCGCAGGAGGGGGCGGGCUGCCCUGCGGGCUCCGGCACCCGGCGGCGGCUCGGGACCGCCGCCAAGCAAGGCCUGCCCGGGCGGGCCGGCUCCCCUAGGGACGGCGCGCCGACAUCUUAGCGCCGGCGGGGACAAAGCGCGGCGGCGGCAGCGCUGGCUGCUGGCAGGGCGCAGCUCGGCCGCCGCCCCGGAGCCGCGGCUGUCGCCAGCCGUGACUGACACCCCCGCCAGGGAGAUUUCAAACCAGCGCGGCUCCAGCCCGGCGCCUCCCGGGCACACGCGCACCGCGCCGCCUGCGCGGCGGGGGGACGGGGGGGACUGGGGGGACGGGGCGGGGGGGGGGGGGAGGAGAGCGCCGCUGCGCAGCUGUGGCUCUGCGCUGACCCCUGCGGCGCGGGCGGGCUGACAGGCCCCGCGGGCCGCGUCGUCCCGGCGCAGCGGCGCGGUAAGCGCGGCGGCGGGCCUGCCUCCCCGCGGCGCGGGGGCCGCGCGAGCCAGGACCGGAGCAGGCCGCGGGCUCUCGGCGGGUCCCGCUCAUUGUUCCUCGCACGAGCCCUCGCAAACAGGAAGCCGCCUCGGCAUGGGGCGCCCCCCCCGCCCCUGGAGAGUGACUGGCAGGCCGGGCGGCCAGUGCGAGCGGCGGCGGCUGCGAGGCGCAGCCAAUGAGCGCGCGCGCACGGGCGUAGGCGGGAGUUCCGGGCUGGCAGGCGGGCGGGCGGGCGGCGGUGUCGGCCGGGCCCCCUCUCCCGCUGCAAGCCCCACCUUUCGGCUUUCCCGCACCGUCAAUCAAAAUAGGAAAAAAAACCCCGGAGUAGGCUCGGGCCGCCGCCGCCGCUUCAGCCCGUGAGCACAAUAAGCAUGUCCCCGGCAGCAGCCGCCUAGCCCCAGCCAGCAGGGCCUGUGUGCGAGCCAGCCAGCCUGCCUGCCUGCCUCCCGCCCAGCCAGCCAGCCGGCCGCUCGCACUCACACCAUGACCGCUCCCGAGAAGCCCGUGAAACAAGAGGAAAUGGCUGCCUUAGACGUGGACAGCAGCAGCCACAGCGAGUAUCUCCAGCACGGCAACGGCGCCGCCUCGGCCUCCGCCGGGGCGGCUGCCCCCCAGGACGCUCAGCCGUCACCGCUCGCUCUGCUGGCGGCCACCUGCAGCAAGAUCGGCCCGCCGUCGCCGGAGGAGGAUGAGGCCGCCGCCGCCGCCGCUGCCUCUCACUCUGCCGGAGCGACAGGGGAUUUGGCUUCUGUGCAAUUAACAGGAACUCCAAAUAGAUGGGAGGUCUUGUCUGCAGCUCCUGCCACUAUAAAGGAUGAAGCUGGUAAUAUAGUACAGAUUCCAGGUGCUGCCACAGUAACUUCAAGUGGGCAGUAUGUCCUUCCUAUUCAGAGUUUGCAAAAUCAACAAAUCUUUUCUGUUGCACCAGGAUCAGAUUCAUCGAAUGGUACAGUGUCUAACGUACAAUACCAAGUAAUACCCCAGAUCCAGACAGCGGAUGGUCAGCAGGUUCAACUGGGCUUUACAGCCUCUUCUGAUAAUAGCAGUAUAAAUCAAGAAACUGGUCAAAUUCAGAUCAUUCCUGGCUCUAAUCAAACCAUCAUUGCCUCUGGAACACCUUCAGCUAAUAUUCAGAAUAUCUUGUCGCAGUCUGGUCAAGUCCAGGUUCAGGGAGUUGCAAUUGGUGGUUCAUCUUUUCCUGGCCAAGCGCAAGUAGUUGCUAAUGUCCCUCUUGGACUGCCAGGAAAUAUUACUUUUGUACCCAUCAAUAGUGUUGAUCUAGAUUCUCUGGGACUUGGCAGUGGUUCUCAAACCAUGACAGCAGGCAUUAAUGCAGAUGGGCACUUGAUAAAUACUGGACAGGCCAUGGAUAGUUCAGAUACUUCUGAAAGGACUGGUGAGCAAGUUUCUCCUGAAAUUACAGAAACCGCCACCGAUAAUGACUUAUUUGUGCCAACAUCAUCUUCAUCACAAUUGCCCGUUACCAUAGACAGUUCAAGUAUAUUGGAACAAAAUGCAAACAACUUGACUACAACUAGUGGUCAAGUUCACAGUUCUGAUCUUCAGGGAAAUUACAUCCAGACGUCAGUCUCUGAUGACACACAGGCUCAGAAUAUUCAGGUCUCCACAGCACAGCCAAUUGUACAACACAUACAGCUUCAAGAGUCUCAGCAGCCAACCAGUCAAGCCCAGAUUGUACAAGGUAUUGCGCAACAGACAAUCCACGGUGUCCAAGCAAGUCAAAGUAUAUCUCAACAGGCUCUUCAAAAUCUUCAACUGCAGCUGAAUCCUGGAACUUUUUUAAUUCAGGCACAAACAGUGACCCCUUCUGGGCAGAUAACCUGGCAGACAUUUCAAGUGCAAGGAGUUCAGAACUUGCAGAACUUGCAAAUUCAGAAUGCACCUGGUCAACAAAUAACUCUAACCCCUGUGCAGACUCUCACUCUUGGUCAAGUUGCAGCAGGUGGGGCAUUGACGUCAACUCCAGUUAGUCUAAGCACUGCUCAAUUGCCAAAUCUACAGACAGUUACAGUAAACUCUAUAGAUUCUGCUGGUAUUCAGCUGCAUCAAGGAGAAAAUGCUGGCAGUCCUGCAGAUAUUAGGAUUAAAGAAGAGGAGCCUGAUCCAGAAGAGUGGCAGCUCAGUGGUGAUUCUACACUGAAUACCAAUGAUCUAACACAUUUGAGAGUACAGGUGGUAGAUGAGGAAGGGGACCAACCACAUCAAGAGGGAAAAAGACUGCGACGAGUAGCUUGCACAUGUCCCAACUGCAAAGAAGGUGGUGGAAGUUUGAUUGCUUUAGAGUGUUACAAAAAUACAGUUAUCCUGGUUUUCUUAUUCACUGGUUUCCUAAGAAAAACAAGUGGCUUUAAUGUAGAGACAUCUUCACUUUAAAAUCCUCUUCCUCCUAAGUGGAGUUGCUGUAACACCAAAUUUUAAAGUCGAAGCCCAAGAGAGAAUCUUUUUGAGAGGUGAUUUUGAUGAAGUCUGGAGAAGGGUGUAGUCUACCUGAAACUCAGAUAUGGGAAUUUGGGAAGGAGUUGAGAGAAGAGCUAGGACAGAGUUUAGGUGGGUGAGAAUCUGAAAUCCACUGUAAAGGAACAACUGGACACAUCAAAUACACAAAGUAAGUAGGAAAAGUAGGACAGGAAGUCAGGAAGAAUUAGGACUGGAAUAGAAACAGGGUAAUGAAGGAGACAAUAGUGGGGAAACAGAAAAGAGUGAAAGUGCCUACAGUUGCUAGAGCAACUUUCCCACCAGAAUGUAGAAUUCGUUCAGAGUUGAGCAAAAAGUAAGCCCACUUGGAGGAGUAUUUUCUUUCUCCCACUGAUACAUGUUGAUCAUGUUCCAUAGCUGCUACAUUACUUGUUUAUCUGUAGUGCUGUAAUUCUGAGUUUUGAUCUGUCUUUCAACUCUGCUGAUGACUUGUGGAGUUUCAGGUAAUAGGACAUUUGUUUUUAUAAAUUUCUUCAGAUAGCAUUCACAGUUCUUAAAAUGAUGUUAAAAUUGCAAAAUUGAAAACGUGGAAGUUGGCAAAUGUUGAAGUUAAGCUAUCCUGGGCAACUUUAAUCCCUUGUGCAUAUGCAUUAUCAUUUGGUUUCUAAUUACAUGGCUGCAUACUAUUUUUUUCGUAUGACCCCCAGUGUCAUUCAAUGGAUGGGAUGGAUGAUGCAUGGGGGGGGUGAAUCAGGGCUCUGUAAUGAUUAGCACCUGCUUCACUUAUUGCAGAAAGUGGAAGGCAUUUAGGGAAUGAGAUACGGGACUGCAGCAACAGGGCUUUGGAGGUGUUUGUCCCCCCCACCUUUUCCACUGCAGAAGUACUGAGUUCAUUCCUGUAAAGAAGUUGAUUGAGCUGAAUUGUGAACAUCUACAGCACUCUAAGAAAAUAUGCUUCUGCUGUAUUGAACUUGACACCUCAAACUGGUGGGUGUUGGACAGUUUCGGCCUUAAUCUCUUUGUCUCAUACUUGGAUGUAUGAAAUGAUUGUACUAGUUCAAGUUCACUACACAGGAGUGUUGCAAGAUGAUAAAUUCAUUAAUGUUUGUGAAUUGCUUAGACACUGUGAGUGUUGUGAGUGCCCAUGAGGAAAAAAAAAACCUUGGGGAAUGAAUAAUUCUGUAUUUAAGAUAGUACUUAAAUAAUAUGUAAGACAAGAAAAGUGCAUGAAAACAGUAUGAAAAAGCUGAAUAGCAUUUCACUCAAUGAAUACUAUCACUCCUAUGCACUGAAUGGAGUAGGAAAAGAUAGUACAUGGCUUCACAUAUGCAGACUUUAUCAUAAUUUCAUCUUUGUGUAGCCUUAGUUUUGGCAUUUCUUUUCUGUUUUCUGGAUGCAAAGGGGAGUUGAGGGUUUUUUUCUGUUCUUUGUUGUUGGCUUUUGUUGUUUUGUUUUUACUCUCGAUACAGAAUUAGACUACAUUGCAGUCUUCAAAGGAUUUCUAUUUGUACCAGUCCUGUGACGUAGGAAGCCAGUAUUAUCUUUACCUUACUUGGCAGGGGGUAGGUAGGAAACGAAGAGGAUGAUGUAUUAGGUGCGUAAAUUAAAACCUUAUAGCCUCAAGCUUAUAUAGUAAAUGGGGGAUAAGGAAGUGGGGGGGGAGGGGGGGAGAGAGAGAGAGAUAAGAGGGAUGUACCUCAAAGGAUGACUCUGAUCCCAGACAGACUGUAUGAGGCUUCUAGUUAGGGUGUCUGAAGUUAGAUGGAAAGUUCACCCUCCUCUCAGUUGCAUCCGGAGAUUUCACGCUCCUCUCAAUUACAUCUGGGAUUGCAUUGAGAUGUAGCUACUACUGUCUGGAUCUAUAGAGGAUCGGUGCUUCUGAAGUACUGCUUCAGAGGCUCCAACUUGGGAAAAAA